UACGUAGGGAGCAAGCGUUGUCCGGAAUCAUUGGGCGUAAAGCGCGCGUAGGUGGCUUCGUAAGUCCGCUGUGAAAGUCAAAGGCUCAACCUUUGAAAGCCGGUGGAUACUGUGAAGCUAGAGUACGGAAGAGGCGAGUGGAAUUCCUGGUGUAGCGGUGGAAUGCGCAGAUAUCAGGAGGAACACCAAUAGCGAAGGCAGCUCGCUGGGACGUUACUGACACUGAGGCGCGAAAGCGUGGGGAGCGAACAGG
RNAcentral lists this ribosomal RNA (253 nucleotides) under uncultured Actinomycetes bacterium. Its description in RNAcentral is "uncultured actinobacterium partial 16S ribosomal RNA". It matches the Rfam family "Bacterial small subunit ribosomal RNA", at positions 524 to 776 of the family's 1533-position model. The record is from RNAcentral. Lineage: Bacteria; Bacillati; Actinomycetota; Actinomycetes.